GUUCUUAUAGUUUAAAAAAAAACAUUACAUUUUCAUUGUAAAAAUAACCCAAGUUUAAGAACU
Molecule: transfer RNA, 63 nt
Filed under: Meliboeus sinae
Lineage: Eukaryota; Metazoa; Arthropoda; Insecta; Coleoptera; Buprestidae
Description: tRNA-Glu
Rfam family: tRNA
About the family: Transfer RNA (tRNA) molecules are approximately 80 nucleotides in length. Their secondary structure includes four short double-helical elements and three loops (D, anti-codon, and T loops).
Source: RNAcentral